This 492-nucleotide ribosomal RNA is filed under the name uncultured bacterium. RNAcentral describes it as "partial 16S ribosomal RNA". It matches the Rfam family "Bacterial small subunit ribosomal RNA", at positions 29 to 507 of the family's 1533-position model. The record is from RNAcentral.
AGUGAACGCUGGCGGUCGGCCUAACACAUGCAAGUCGAACGGCAGCACAGUAAGAGCUUGCUCUUACGGGUGGCGAGUGGCGGACGGGUGAGGAAUACAUCGGAAUCUACUUUUUCGUGGGGGAUAACGUAGGGAAACUUACGCUAAUACCGCAUACGACCUACGGGUGAAAGCAGGGGAUCUUCGGACCUUGCGCGAUUGAAUGAGCCGAUGUCGGAUUAGCUAGUUGGCGGGGUAAAGGCCCACCAAGGCGACGAUCCGUAGCUGGUCUGAGAGGAUGAUCAGCCACACUGGAACUGAGACACGGUCCAGACUCCUACGGGAGGCAGCAGUGGGGAAUAUUGGACAAUGGGCGCAAGCCUAAUCCAGCCAUACCGCGUGGGUGAAGAAGGCCUUCGGGUUGUAAAGCCCUUUUGUUGGGAAAGAAAAGCAGCAGGUUAAUACCCCGCUGUUCUGACGGUACCCAAAGAAUAAGCACCGGCUAACUUCGUG